GAUCCUGGCUCAGAUUGAACGCUGGCGGCAGGCCUAACACAUGCAAGUCGAACGGUAACAGGAAGCAGCUUGCUGCUUUGCUGACGAGUGGCGGACGGGUGAGUAAUGUCUGGGAAACUGCCUGAUGGAGGGGGGAUAACUACUGGAAACGGUAGCUAAUACCGCAUAACGUCGCAAGACCAAAGAGGGGGACCUUCGGGUCCUCUUGCCAUCGGAUGUGCCCAGAUGGGAUUAGCUUG
This 239-nucleotide ribosomal RNA is filed under the name uncultured bacterium. RNAcentral's name for it is "partial 16S ribosomal RNA". It matches the Rfam family "Bacterial small subunit ribosomal RNA", at positions 15 to 248 of the family's 1533-position model. The record is from RNAcentral.